CUCAAAUGAACUCCUUUCUAAACUGCAGUCAGGCUUCAGGAAAAAGCACAGUACCAUCACUGCUGUUACAAAAGUAAUUAAUGACAUACUUGUCGCUCUUGAUAGAAAGCAAUUCUGUGCAUCACUUUUUCUUGAUCUGUCGAAAGCUUUUGACACAGUGGACCAUGCUGUUUUAAAGCAAAGGCUUCUUUGUCUGGGAUUGUCUGAUUGUGUAGUUUCCUGGUUCAUGAAUUAUCUGAGUGACAGGACUCAGUGCAUUAAAUGUGAUGGUCUAUGUUCUGCAUUAGUGAAGGUCCACAAGGGAGUGCCACAAGGCUCAAUAUUAGGACCUCUCUUGUUUAUUAUGUAUAUAAAUGAACUUGGCCACAAUGUGUCGGAUGCUAAUAUGCAUUUCUAUGCUGAUGACACGAUUAUUUAUUGUUUUGGAUCGUCCCCAGCUAAAGCGGUUGAAUCUUUGCAGAAAGCUUUUGAUGUGGUUCAACGUACGCUUAUGCAGCUUAAACUGGUUCUCAAUGCUGAUAAGACCAAACUGAUGCUGUUUAGAAAUACUAAGAAGGUUUCUCAAGCUCCUCCUCCUGUGUUCACUUUGACUGGAAGUGUCAUAGAGGUGGUUCAUUCUUAUAAGUACCUUGGUAUCUGGCUUGAUGAUGCUCUCACUUUUAAGCCUCAUAUAGACAACCUUGUGAAGAAACUCAAGCUUAAACUGUCCUUUUUCUUUCGAAAUAAAUUUUGUUUUUCUUUUAAAGCAAAAAAGCAGCUAGUCACUGCAACAUUUUUAUCUGUCUUAGAUUAUGGAGACCUGGUGUAUAGGACCGCUUCAGCACAAUGUCUGUAUAAGAUUGACACUGUUUAUCAUGCGUCUCUGAGAUUUAUUACGAAUUGUAAAAACUUGACCCAUCAUUGUGAAUUAUAUUCCAGAGUGGGAUGGCCAUCGUUGUCCAACAGGAGAUCAGGGCACUGGCAUACUUUUAUCUAUAAGGCCAUGCUUGGUCUUUUGCCAUCCUACAUCUGUAGUUUAAUAACAUGGAGAAGUGUUAGUUCUUAUUCAUUGCGAUCAAAUGAUCACUUGCUGCUCAUUGUUCCAUUUGCCCGUACAGAACUGGGAAAAAGGGCUUUUGUCUACUCAGCUCCUUCUGCAUGGAACUUAUUGCAAAAAGACUUGAAAUUAUCUGAACUUAUUUCCUUAAAUGCUUUUAAGUCCAGAUUGAGAGAACCAGAAAUGACCUGUUUAAAUUGUAAAUGUUUUUAAUUAUUUGUAUUGCAUAACUUUCAUAAAUGUAAUUUACUGUGUUUUUGCUGCCUCUUGGCCAGGACUCCCUUGAAAAAGAGGUUUUUAACCUCAAUGGGACUUUCCUGGUUAAAUAAAGGUUAAAUAAAAUAAAA
Cyprinus carpio (common carp) is the source of this 1383-nucleotide long non-coding RNA. NCBI's taxonomy places the organism in Eukaryota, Metazoa, Chordata, Actinopteri, Cypriniformes, Cyprinidae. The record is from Ensembl.